CCUACGGGAGGCAGCAGUGGGGAAUAUUGGACAAUGGGGGGAACCCUGAUCCAGCGACGCCGCGUGAGUGAAGAAGUCUUUCGGUAUGUAAAGCUCUAUCAGCAGGGAAGAAAAUGACGGUACCUGACUAAGAAUCCCCGGCUAACUACGUGCCAGCAGCCGCGGUAAUAAGUAGGGGGCAAGCGUUAUCCGGAUUUACUGGGUGGAAAGGGAGCGUAGACGGUGCAGCAAGUCUGAUGUGAAAGGUCGGGGCCCAACCCCGGGACUGCAUUGGAAACUGUUGAACUGGAGUACAGGAGAGGUAAGCGGAAUUCCUAGUGUAGCGGUGAAAUGCGUAGAUAUUAGGAGGAACACCAGUGGCGAAGGCGGCUUACUGGACUGUAACUGACGUUGAGGCUCGAAAGCGUGGGGAGCAAACAGGAUUAGAUACCCGUGUAGUC
Molecule: ribosomal RNA, 440 nt
Filed under: uncultured bacterium
Lineage: Bacteria
Description: partial 16S ribosomal RNA
Rfam family: Bacterial small subunit ribosomal RNA
Source: RNAcentral